ACCAUCUUGAUAGUUGCCUGAUAUUACUUUUUCACCAUCUUUAAAGAAAUUAACUCUGUAAUCUCCACCUUCGUAGGUACACCCAGCCUUCUCAAGCAUACCGUAUGAUAUCAAAUUUCUGCUCAUCUGCGGCAUGUAUCUGACAUCAAUGAAGCAAGCCGUUUUACCAUCUUUGUUUGCUCUUGGCUUGGACUGUGACCGUGGACCUCGAGACUUUGACCUGCCUCUACCAGACUGACCAUUCCCAUUUCCUCGAUCAUUCCUUCGACUAGAUCUUCCCCGCGACUCAACAUACAACCCUUCAUUCGACUUACCAGUCUUCCCCACAAGACCCUUCUGUUUCAGCUCUAUCUCCUUGGCAUAUGCUGAAGAGACGACUUCUCUCACUGUGAGUGUGUCUCUUCCUGUUCCAUACUUCAGUGUAUGGACUAGAGCCUCAUAUUGCGGUGGCAAUCCUGAUCAAGAACUGGAUCAGCACCUUCUUCCAGUUUCUCUGACGUCUUGAAGAGAGUAGCUCCUUCCUCAAGAACUGAACCAAGUCCCUGUAUCUCAAGCUGGCCAAGGAGCUUAUACUUCCACAUCCCAAAGUCUCCCUUUCCGUCAAACUUAUCCAUCUGAAACCGACCCCGCGUAGGAUCCAUCUCAACCUUAUCCUUAUCCUUCUCCAUACGAUCCCUUCCUCAAUCAACAGAUCCACCUGAAUCAAGAAGCCUCAAGCAAGCAAACCACAGCUCUGAUACCACUUGUUGGUGAUCAAAGCGAAAAGUAAAUGCACAACAAGAUUGUUCACCCGGACUUCGUUUCCUACUGUCCGGGGAGGGAAUCGGAAUCCCUCAAGCUUCACUAUAAUCAGAAUCAAGUUCCGGUAACAAUGAUACAACUCGAUCUACGUCACAAUGGAGAAGACGAGUUGAUGUUACCUCCGAAAUACACCCCAGGUAAUCGGAUCCUGCUGUGGCGACGUCACCGGAGACACUCCGACUCCGUUCCCGAUCGAUCGCCUCAGAUCACCGUGAAGAAGACGUAGUGGCCGUUACGGUUGUUAUAACAACCUGACUUUGCCAUUUGCGUGUAUGGGCUUAAGUGAAGCGAAGCCCAUCUUGACACUUUCUCUUCUCCGCAAGUCUGAAGUCGAAACCCACAACGAGGAGGCCCAACUUACGAAUGCUGAAGACCAAAGCCCACAAUAGAUUUCUACGAUUCUUUCAAAAUGUGACAUUAUAGUUAUUGGAAAUUUAUUUGAUUAUUUAAUAAUAACGAAAAGCAGGAAAAAGGUGAGACUGAACUGGCUGACGUGAGAAAGGAAUAUUUACUGUUUAUUCAUCAGGCUUUCUCAGUGUAAAAGUUAUCCUCACUUGGAUUUACGUGCUA
This is a long non-coding RNA of Raphanus sativus (radish), 1371 nucleotides long. RefSeq lists it as uncharacterized. The record is from RefSeq and is a predicted model, not a curated record. Lineage: Eukaryota; Viridiplantae; Streptophyta; Magnoliopsida; Brassicales; Brassicaceae. The transcript has 5 exons.